UACGAAGGGGGCUAGCGUUGCUCGGAAUCACUGGGCGUAAAGCGCACGUAGGCGGACUCUUAAGUCGGCGGUGAAAUCCUGGAGCUCAACUCCAGAACUGCCUUCGAUACUGGGAGUCUCGAGUCCGAGAGAGGUGAGUGGAACUGCGAGUGUAGAGGUGAAAUUCGUAGAUAUUCGCAAGAACACCAGUGGCGAAGGCGGCUCACUGGCUCGGUACUGACGCUGAGGAGCGAAAGCGUGGGGAGCGAACAGG
RNAcentral lists this ribosomal RNA (253 nucleotides) under uncultured bacterium. RNAcentral's name for it is "partial 16S ribosomal RNA". It matches the Rfam family "Bacterial small subunit ribosomal RNA", at positions 524 to 776 of the family's 1533-position model. The record is from RNAcentral.